This 465-nucleotide ribosomal RNA is filed under the name uncultured Klebsiella sp. Its description in RNAcentral is "bacterial SSU rRNA". It matches the Rfam family "Bacterial small subunit ribosomal RNA", at positions 338 to 795 of the family's 1533-position model. Lineage: Bacteria; Pseudomonadati; Pseudomonadota; Gammaproteobacteria; Enterobacterales; Enterobacteriaceae. The record is from RNAcentral.
CCUACGGGUGGCUGCAGUGGGGAAUAUUGCACAAUGGGCGCAAGCCUGAUGCAGCCAUGCCGCGUGUGUGAAGAAGGCCUUCGGGUUGUAAAGCACUUUCAGCGGGGAGGAAGGCGGUGAGGUUAAUAACCUCAUCGAUUGACGUUACCCGCAGAAGAAGCACCGGCUAACUCCGUGCCAGCAGCCGCGGUAAUACGGAGGGUGCAAGCGUUAAUCGGAAUUACUGGGCGUAAAGCGCACGCAGGCGGUCUGUCAAGUCGGAUGUGAAAUCCCCGGGCUCAACCUGGGAACUGCAUUCGAAACUGGCAGGCUAGAGUCUUGUAGAGGGGGGUAGAAUUCCAGGUGUAGCGGUGAAAUGCGUAGAGAUCUGGAGGAAUACCGGUGGCGAAGGCGGCACCCUGGACAAAGACUGACGCUCAGGUGCGAAAGCGUGGGGAGCAAACAGGAUUAGAUACCCGAGUAGUC